Molecule: small nucleolar RNA, 102 nt
Organism: Solanum stenotomum
Lineage: Eukaryota; Viridiplantae; Streptophyta; Magnoliopsida; Solanales; Solanaceae
Product: small nucleolar RNA Z279/snoR105/snoR108
Exons: 1
Source: RefSeq, a predicted model, not a curated record
GAGAUAUGAUGAGUGGUCAAUACUCGCACCAUGCGAGAAGGGUGUUCAGGCUCAGCCUGGUUACGACAAUUUGGACGCUCUCAAUUUUACCAAUCUGAUCUC